UCCCCUCCUUCCUCCCCAGUCCCCACCGCCGCCACGAACAACUACUCCGACACGAACUCUGCUCAAGCCCGCUCCCAUGGUUCCCGUCAUCGACAUGGACUCUUUGCCCGUUCCGCAAGCCGAAGGCACCACGACUCGAGUCCCUCGAUCGAAAUCCCAGGUCAGACCGGAUCGCGGCGGCCGGCGGCGCCACGACAGGUUGCUGGCCUGCAGUCCUACUCACGGGACAAGCUGCGUUCGCGGUGCGCUCUCGCUGCCCGCCGGCUUCGACGGUAUGGGCCGGGGCGCCGCCCUUCCGCAGAUCCGCAAUCGAGUCGUGCGUCCGGUCUGCCGCCUCCCCUCGACGUCCACGGCUCUGUGCUCUUCCGUGUUCUCUCCUAGCGCAGGCUGUGGGGGCGCUACGCCGCUCUCUGCCGGCUCCUCAUACAAGAGAGAUGGACAAACUGAGCCCUGUGGGAAACAAUUGCAUCAGCUCAGCGACGUCCAGCGUUUCUCCUCUCUACGUUUCUUUGCACGCCUCAUCUCCAAGCACGAAGCCACGGCGAGAUGGCCUGGUCUUGGUACUAUGUUGAUAGCGAGGGUGCAAGGCUCAAGGGAAGCAGCUGGUUCUGUAGUUCUUUGUAUGCUUAUGGUAUCUUGGAUGAGGGUUACAAAUUCAACAUAUCAGUUGAGGAAGCUGCUGAGUUAGCAUGGCGGGCUUUUAUCACGCAAUAUUCUGUGACAGAGCUAGUGGUGGCUAUGUUCCUGGUGGGCUUGACAGACCAGUUUUUAUCCGAAAGAAAGGCCUUUAGCGUGCGUUUGGAUCUGAAGAAACAAAGCAAGAUAUGGCUGUCAUUCCUCCUAACUUGGCUAGUUACUAGUAUCUCCUUGAUCAUUUGAUAAGGUAGUCUUGGCGAGUGUUUGGGCAAUAGAGAACAUAACUUGGCAAUUUAUGUAUAUGUUUACUGUAUUCAUUUAUUCAGGAUUAGAAGCUUAGGCCGUGUUUGGAGGCUCUCCACUCCCGGAGCGUCCGGAGCUGUAGUUAAAAAAUCAUUCUGCGGAGCUGGGGGAGUGCUGAACAGGGCCUUAAAUUCUGAACUUUAUAGUUCAGGAGUAGCUACCUCCUGAUGUACCGGUGUAAUUUAAUAGUUUCAUCGAAUGUAAAUCAGAAGUACUCCCUCCGUCCGGAAA
Molecule: RNA transcript, 1170 nt
Organism: Triticum dicoccoides
Lineage: Eukaryota; Viridiplantae; Streptophyta; Magnoliopsida; Poales; Poaceae
Exons: 4
Source: RefSeq, a predicted model, not a curated record